RNAcentral lists this ribosomal RNA (491 nucleotides) under uncultured bacterium. RNAcentral describes it as "partial 16S ribosomal RNA". It matches the Rfam family "Bacterial small subunit ribosomal RNA", at positions 29 to 506 of the family's 1533-position model. The record is from RNAcentral.
AGUGAACGCUGGCGGUAGGCCUAACACAUGCAAGUCGAACGGCAGCACAGUAAGAGCUUGCUCUUACGGGUGGCGAGUGGCGGACGGGUGAGGAAUACAUCGGAAUCUACUUUUUCGUGGGGGAUAACGUAGGGAAACUUACGCUAAUACCGCAUACGACCUACGGGUGAAAGCAGGGGAUCUUCGGACCUUGCGCGAUUGAAUGAGCCGAUGUCGGAUUAGCUAGUUGGCGGGGUAAAGGCCCACCAAGGCGACGAUCCGUAGCUGGUCUGAGAGGAUGAUCAGCCACACUGGAACUGAGACACGGUCCAGACUCCUACGGGAGGCAGCAGUGGGGAAUAUUGGACAAUGGGCGCAAGCCUGAUCCAGCCAUACCGCGUGGGUGAAGAAGGCCUUCGGGUUGUAAAGCCCUUUUGUUGGGAAAGAAAAGCAGCAGGUUAAUACCCCGCUGUUCUGACGGUACCCAAAGAACAAGCACCGGCGAACUUCGU